Sinocyclocheilus rhinocerous is the source of this 209-nucleotide long non-coding RNA. RefSeq lists it as uncharacterized. The transcript is spliced from 3 exons. The record is from RefSeq and is a predicted model, not a curated record. Lineage: Eukaryota; Metazoa; Chordata; Actinopteri; Cypriniformes; Cyprinidae.
CUCUCUUAGGAAGAAGGAAGUGGCAAGUGCCAUGCAGAGGAUGCUGUCAGAGAGCUACUCUUUAAGGUUACUACAGGAGGCCAGGGAAGCCAAGACACAGAUUCUGGUGUCUGAGACCUGCAGGAGUUUGGACUAUAUGGAUACGAAGUUUGACCAAGUGUUGUCCCUGCAGCAGCUAGACAAAAGCAAAGCCAUUAGUCAGAUCCUUC